Molecule: transfer RNA, 71 nt
Filed under: Chloroflexota bacterium
Lineage: Bacteria; Bacillati; Chloroflexota
Also listed under: 1 other name
Description: Chloroflexi bacterium (marine sediment metagenome) tRNA-Gly
Rfam family: tRNA
About the family: Transfer RNA (tRNA) molecules are approximately 80 nucleotides in length. Their secondary structure includes four short double-helical elements and three loops (D, anti-codon, and T loops). Further hydrogen bonds mediate the characteristic L-shaped molecular structure. tRNAs have two regions of fundamental functional importance: the anti-codon, which is responsible for specific mRNA codon recognition, and the 3' end, to which the tRNAs corresponding amino acid is attached (by aminoacyl-tRNA synthetases). tRNAs cope with the degeneracy of the genetic code in two manners: having more than one tRNA (with a specific anti-codon) for a particular amino acid; and 'wobble' base-pairing, i.e. permitting non-standard base-pairing at the 3rd anti-codon position.
Source: RNAcentral
GCGGGCGUAGUUCAAGGGUAGAACAUUAGCCUUCCAAGCUAAAUAUACGGGUUCGAUUCCCGUCGCCCGCU